UCUUCACAGCUGCUGUCACCUUUUCGAUCUC
RNAcentral lists this non-coding RNA (31 nucleotides) under Homo sapiens (human). The record is from RNAcentral. Lineage: Eukaryota; Metazoa; Chordata; Mammalia; Primates; Hominidae.